ACGCUGUUUCUCAUAGAAACCAGGAUAACAUUGGCCUUUCUGACCAACUGGCUUGUGUUCAAUUGGAUGUCCACUAACAUUCCAGAUUCUUUUCCUAUGUGCAGCUUGCCACCCUCCUUGUGAUGGUGCAAACCCGGAAGAAGCCCUUGAUCACCGAGGUUUGCUGCUUCGGAGCUGUUUCAGCCAGAACCACAGCGACUGACCACGAGGUUCAGGUGGGUUUCAGUCAGUUCCUUCAUUCAGGGAUCCCCGAGACAGCAGAGCGCCGGGCAGCUCUCGCAAAAGCCGCUGACGCAGCGAGGGCGUUGCCAGGGCAACGACUCUGCAUCCACUCCCCCUCGCCUAGAAAAAGCCUCCAGGACGGAGAGGAGGAGUCGGAGUGUGAGAAUUCCUGGGCUGUUAUAACGAAGAGAAACUGUAAGCCACCCAUACACGGGACUCCCCAGCAAGGACGGGAGUUAUCACUCUCAGGACAGAAUUGUUGCCUUUCUCCCUCUCUAUAAAGAAGAUGUAAGUACUUGACCUGAAAAUGAAUUCAGCUGUAUAACACUAGGAUGAAAUUAGGAAGAAUGAGUCUGGGGCUGUUCAGUCUGGAGAAGAGAAGGCUCCAGGAGGACUUGAUAGUGGCCUUUCAGUACGUAAAGAAAAUGAAGAAAAAGAAGGGGACAGACUCUUCAGCAGGCUCUGUGUUGUGAUUGCAUGAUUUUUUUGUUGUCAGUAUUCCACAUCAGAACAUCAUGUGGACUUAACGAGUUAAUGUUCCGGUUCCGUUUACUGUUGUGGACUCUUUGAGUAUCCUGAUUGGGAGGGGAGGGGGCGGCAUCCCCGGAGGACCUGGCAGGAAGAGGAAGUGGGGGGAGCGGUGGACAGGAUCCGGAGCGUCUGCCUCUCUCCUUCUGGCCCGGCUCAGCUGUCUCUGCUCUCCGCGGAGAAAGCACGUGCUUUCCCUCGCACUAUCGUGGUUUGACUCUCAUUUUUGAUACUCUUGUCUC
Meleagris gallopavo (turkey) is the source of this 992-nucleotide non-coding RNA. The record is from RefSeq and is a predicted model, not a curated record. NCBI's taxonomy places the organism in Eukaryota, Metazoa, Chordata, Aves, Galliformes, Phasianidae.